AGGUGAGUGUUGCAACAGGUGACCCAUUUGGUAGAACAACAAAAGAACCCAUGACAUCUUAAUUUUUCUCCACCAGUGGAAUUGCUCUGACUCAGUUAGGUCCCUGCCAUCUUUUCUACUGUGUAUUCCUAUCACUGGCAUACCCAAAUCCUUUUUAAUGAUGCAGAGGCAGCUUAGCCUGUGUUCAAAUUAUAUGAAUCCUAAGUUAGAAGGGGG
Molecule: long non-coding RNA, 216 nt
Filed under: Homo sapiens (human)
Lineage: Eukaryota; Metazoa; Chordata; Mammalia; Primates; Hominidae
Description: non-protein coding lnc-MYB-2:2
Source: RNAcentral